GACGAACGCUGGCGGCGUGCCUAAUACAUGCAAGUAGAACGCACAGUUUAUACCGUAGCUUGCUACACCAUAGACUGUGAGUUGCGAACGGGUGAGUAACGCGUAGGUAACCUGCCUGGUAGCGGGGGAUAACUAUUGGAAACGAUAGCUAAUACCGCAUAAUAUUAAUUAUUGCAUGAUAAUUAAUUGAAAGGUGCAAUUGCACCACUACCAGAUGGACCUGCGUUGUAUUAGCUAGUAGGUGAGGUAACGGCUCACCUAGGCGACGAUACAUAGCCGACCUGAGAGGGUGAUAGGCCACACUGGGACUGAGACACGGCCCAGACUCCUACGGGAGGCAGCAGUAGGGAAUCUUCGGCAAUGGACGAAAGUCUGACCGAGCAACGCCGCGUGAGUGAAGAAGGUUGUCGGAUCGUAAAGCUCUGUUGUAAGAGAAGAACGGGUGCGAGAGUGGAAAGUUCACACUGUGACGGUAUCUUACCAGAAAGGGACGGCUAACUACGUG
This 505-nucleotide ribosomal RNA is filed under the name uncultured bacterium. RNAcentral's name for it is "partial 16S ribosomal RNA". It matches the Rfam family "Bacterial small subunit ribosomal RNA", at positions 28 to 507 of the family's 1533-position model. The record is from RNAcentral.